AGUGAACGCUGGCGGUAGGCCUAACACAUGCAAGUCGAACGGCAGCACAGUAAGAGCUUGCUCUUACGGGUGGCGAGUGGCGGACGGGUGAGGAAUACAUCGGAAUCUACUUUUUCGUGGGGGAUAACGUAGGGAAACUUACGCUAAUACCGCAUACGACCUACGGGUGAAAGCAGGGGAUCUUCGGACCUUGCGCGAUUGAAUGAGCCGAUGUCGGAUUAGCUAGUUGGCGGGGUAAAGGCCCACCAAGGCGACGAUCCGUAGCUGGUCUGAGAGGAUGAUCAGCCACACUGGAACUGAGACACGGUCCAGACUCCUACGGGAGGCAGCAGUGGGGAAUAUUGGAAAAUGGGCGCAAGCCUGAUCCAGCCAUACCGCGUGGGUGAAGAAGGCCUUCGGGUUGUAAAGCCCUUUUGUUGGGAAAGAAAAGCAGCAGGUUAAUACCCCGCUGUUCUGACGGUACCCAAAGAAUAAGCACCGACUAACUCCGU
RNAcentral lists this ribosomal RNA (491 nucleotides) under uncultured bacterium. RNAcentral's name for it is "partial 16S ribosomal RNA". It matches the Rfam family "Bacterial small subunit ribosomal RNA", at positions 29 to 506 of the family's 1533-position model. The record is from RNAcentral.